GGGCUGAUCCGAUUGCUGUCUAUAAACAAGCCAUCAAAUGAUUAUCUAUGGAUUGGUGGGACAUGUAAGUUCACACACGGAAAAGCACGAAAGUUGCGAGGGGGUCGAC
Drosophila erecta is the source of this 109-nucleotide long non-coding RNA. RefSeq lists it as uncharacterized. The transcript has 2 exons. The record is from RefSeq and is a predicted model, not a curated record. Lineage: Eukaryota; Metazoa; Arthropoda; Insecta; Diptera; Drosophilidae.